Molecule: ribosomal RNA, 449 nt
Filed under: uncultured bacterium
Lineage: Bacteria
Description: partial 16S ribosomal RNA
Rfam family: Bacterial small subunit ribosomal RNA
Source: RNAcentral
AACGAACGCUGGCGGCAGGCUUAACACAUGCAAGUCGAACGAUGUAGCAAUACAUAGUGGCGCACGGGUGAGUAACGCGUGGGAAUAUACCUUAUAGUGGGGAAUAACUUUGGGAAACUAAAGCUAAUACCGCAUACGCCCGAGAGGGGAAAGAUUUAUCGCUAUAAGAUUAGCCCGCGUGAGGUUAGGUAGUUGGUGGGGUAAUGGCCUACCAAGCCUACGAUCUCUAGCUGGUCUGAGAGGAUGAUCAGCCACACUGGAACUGAGACACGGUCCAAACUCCUACGGGAGGCAGCAGUGGGGAAUACUGGGCAAUGGAGGAAACUCUGACCCAGCCAUGCCGCGUGAAUGAUGAAGGCCUUAGGGUUGUAAAGUUCUUUCGCCGAUGAAGAUAAUGACGGUAGUCGGAGAAGAAGCCCCGGCUAACUUCGUGACAGCCGCCGCGGUAA